GGCCGUCUGCGCGAGUUCCUGCAAUGCGACGCCGAUGUCGUCGGGAUUGCAGGCCCGCAGGCCGAAGCUGAGCUGAUGCAGCUGGCGGCCG
Molecule: transfer RNA, 91 nt
Filed under: compost metagenome
Description: tRNA-Ile
Source: RNAcentral